CUACGUGCCAGCAGCCGCGGUAAUACGGAAGGUCCAGGCGUUAUCCGGAUUUAUUGGGUUUAAAGGGUGCGUAGGCCGUUUGAUAAGCGUGCUGUGAAAUAUAGUGGCUCAACCUCUAUCGUGCAGCGCGAACUGUUGAACUUGAGUGCGUAGUAGGUAGGCGGAAUUCGUGGUGUAGCGGUGAAAUGCUUAGAUAUCACGAAGAACUCCGAUUGCGAAGGCAGCUUACCGUAACGUUACUGACGCUUAAGCACGAAGGUGCGGGUAUCGAACAGGAUUAGAUACCCUGGUAGUCCGCMCAGUAAACGAUGGAUGCUCGCUGUUGGCCUUUGUGGUCAGUGGCUUAGCGAAAGCGUUAAGCAUCCCACCUGGGGAGUACGCCGGCAACGGUGAAACUCAAAGGAAUUGACGGGGGCCCGCACAAGCGGAGGAACAUGUGGUUUAAUUCGAUGAUACGCGAGGAACCUUACCCGGGCUUGAACUGCAGCUGAACGAUUCAGAGAUGAU
RNAcentral lists this ribosomal RNA (507 nucleotides) under uncultured bacterium. Its description in RNAcentral is "bacterial SSU rRNA". It matches the Rfam family "Bacterial small subunit ribosomal RNA", at positions 501 to 1010 of the family's 1533-position model. The record is from RNAcentral.